Daphnia pulex (common water flea) is the source of this 1501-nucleotide long non-coding RNA. RefSeq lists it as uncharacterized. The transcript has 9 exons. The record is from RefSeq and is a predicted model, not a curated record. Lineage: Eukaryota; Metazoa; Arthropoda; Branchiopoda; Diplostraca; Daphniidae.
ACGAAUCCUCGUUUUUCAUGUAAUGGCCGAUUGUUGAUUUCUUGUCAAAAGUUUUCCUACUUUUCCACGAAAAUUACCGAUGAAUUCAUAGGAAGGAACGGGAAAGGAUCGAAACGGGAGUUUCUUUUUAUCUUGCUAGGUCAACAACCCUAGUGACAUACAUUAUUUUUUCCGAACACAUUUUUCUACAAAUUAUGCAUCGACAGACAAAGAAAGCUAUGGGAACAUAAUCAAGGCCAUGGGUAAUCUCCAUGUUUAUAACAUUAACUUUGGGGAAGUCACAUGAAAAUAUGCAGGGCAACAUGUGUUGUAUUUUUCUGAAUAUUUUAGUCAAGCAAUUCAACAUGACUAACUGUUUGCUGCCAAAGUUAGUUGGAACUCUAACUCAAACAAAGCCACAGACAGGAAAAUUAUUCUUUUCUUCCAGAAAAUUCUAGUGAAAGGCGGGACAAAUUCAAGUUGAAGUCAGCUUAUUUGCAAACAAAUCGCAAACAGACCUUCGGGUACUUUGCUACUCUGCCCAGUCGUCCGUGGAUGCUAAGGACUGUCACUAGGUAGUUAAAAUUAGUCCACUAGACGACGCGGGUGUCUUCGUUAGUCGUUCGAGAGGCGCAUGAAAGGAGGCGAGUCGCGAGUGUCUUCGUGAGGGAGAAAUAUUUGCCAUUUGUUUACGAGACGCUGACUGGAAGUGUAUUCCAAAUUCAUUACGGAAUUGAGUUGUCGAUCUAAAUUUUCAGCCAAAUGUAAUUGGCAAUCUGGCAUAUAAUUUCACUUGGCUAAAUAAUGUAACCACUUUGGUCGAAACUUUUGUCGAAAUGUCGGCCAUGGUUUUAGCUGCACCCAUACGGCUCUACUUCUCAUCUCGUGCUGUAACAUUUCAGAGCUAUUGAUUUUCAGGUCAGAGAUGGAAAUCCCUUUGCUCAACUGAUGCAGAGAUUGAGGACAUGAGAAAAGUCUGAGCUUCAUGGAUGUUGUAUCUUUAAUGUGGUUUUGUUGCAGCCAGCUGGUGAUGAGAAAGAUGUGUGUGAGUCAAGUUGAGCUGAAGGCCUGCAGCUGCAGCAUGCAGUUUAUGGAGCUGGUGUUAUCCCAAGUGUCACUGCAGGAAAACAUCUUGAAUUGGAGUUCAUGGUCAGUUGGAGCUGUUUGGUGUACAGUGAUUUUGCAGUCCCUUUCCAGUUGAGAGAUGCUCUGAAAUGGAGCUUGUGCAGACUUGCAGUUCAACAUCACACUUAAAUGAGUUGAUUUUCAUUUGUCUAUGUUGGUGUUCAUGCAGUGUUGAACAGUUGGGUUUUAUAGUCAAUUCUGCCUGAUGGCUGUCGGUCUUAUUUUAUCCGUCUCUUGCUACCUGUGCCGGCGUUGAGGUAAAGCUUGAUGUUUCGUUCAGUUAUUGACUUUUAAUUAAAGUCUAUUCUUUUUUCAGUUGAAUCGUUUGCUGCCGUUCCAUAGACUUGAUCCAUUGGUUAAACUGAGGAGAGGUUGCUGAAAUUCAAGACUCGUCAAU